CCUACGGGAGGCUGCAGUGAGGAAUAUUGGUCAAUGGGCGCGAGCCUGAACCAGCCAAGUAGCGUGAAGGAUGACUGCCCUACGGGUUGUAAACUUCUUUUAUAAAGGAAUAAAGUGUGGCACGUGUACCUUUUUGUAUGUACUUUAUGAAUAAGGAUCGGCUAACUCCGUGCCAGCAGCCGCGGUAAUACGGAGGAUCCGAGCGUUAUCCGGAUUUAUUGGGUUUAAAGGGUGCGUAGAUGGGUUGUUAAGUCAGUUGUGAAAGCUUGCGGCUCAACCGUGAAAUUGCAAUUGAUACUGGCAGUCUUGAGUACAGUUGAGGUAGGCGGAAUACGUGGUGUAGCGGUGAAAUGCUUAGAUAUCACGAAGAACUCCGAUUGCGAAGGCAGCUUACUAAACUGCCACUGACAUUGAUGCUCGAAAGUGUGGGUAUCAAACAGGAUUAGAUACCCGGGUAGUC
Molecule: ribosomal RNA, 460 nt
Filed under: uncultured bacterium
Lineage: Bacteria
Description: partial 16S ribosomal RNA
Rfam family: Bacterial small subunit ribosomal RNA
Source: RNAcentral